Thunnus maccoyii (southern bluefin tuna) is the source of this 982-nucleotide long non-coding RNA. RefSeq lists it as uncharacterized. The transcript is spliced from 2 exons. The record is from RefSeq and is a predicted model, not a curated record. NCBI's taxonomy places the organism in Eukaryota, Metazoa, Chordata, Actinopteri, Scombriformes, Scombridae.
UGUAGUGGCUUGACUAAGGUCCCUUAUGUGUUGAAUUUGGGGUAUUAAAGCCAACACAGAGGGGCAGAGGUCGGCCUGCUGUUGACAUCCUCAUCCUCCCCGCGAGAGCGCGCGCACAGCUAAGGCCAAAGUGGAAGGGACCAUAUCAGGUGCUGUUGCCAUCGCAUGGGGGAGUAAAGACACGAUGGAUCCACGCACCACGUGUCGAAAUUGGGCUUGCAACCUGAUCCCUGACAACUCUGAAAAAGUGAAGGAGAUCUUAAGGAACAUGGAGAGGAUGAGGGAUGAAUUAAAGACCUCCAAAGGCACAGGAAGGUCUUUCAGAGAAUGGCUACAUGACAUGUUUGGUCCAACGGGUGCAACUGCUGUUCAAGUAUUGAUCCCUGUGUUGGUUGUAUUCAUCUUGAUCCUUUGUUUGUGUGCUGUGUUCAAAUACAUGAAACCCUUGAGGUCCAGGUGGAUGGGGACUGUAGUAGGAGGUACUUCUCAACAAAUGGUGAAGCACAUCUAUGUGUCUACUGACUAUACUGAGAAGUCUGAGCCUGACCAAUGCGAUGACCCAUGCAGCAUUGCUCAGAAGAACCCUCACAUCUGUGUGAUGGUGUGAAGGUCCUGCCUGAUAACAUCUGGAUCUCACCAUCUCUGCAUCAAUCUUUUCUCUUCAAAGCAGAGAAUACACAGCAUUUAUCUAAGCAGAUUUCAACUGCUGCUUCUGUGAAUUUGUUUUCUUCACUAUCUUAUAUCAUAGCUUUGCUAUUAAUCUCAUAUUUUGUAUUAUUUUGCUUUAAUCUUGACCAAUUUGUAACUUGUCAAGGUUUAGAAGUUUUCAGCCUACUCUGUAGUUCUAUGUUUAGGGACUUAGGUUGAUUUUUCAAUGAAAGAAAGAAAAUGUAAUUCAGCUGUCAAAGAAAUAGGUUUUCUCUGUAAAGUGUUAUCUUGUUCUGAAUCCUUUGCUCAGUGUUAUUAUAAAGUGUUAUGUUAA